AAGAGCCGCGGUAUAUUGACCGUGCAAAGGUAGCAUAAUCAUUAGGGGUUUAAUUGGAACCUAGUAUGAAUGGUCGGACAAAGAAAAAACUGUCUUUGUAAGUUAAAUUGAAGUUUACUUUUAAGUGAAAAGGCUUAAAUAAAUCAAAGGGACGAUAAGACCCUAUAAAUCUUUAUAAAUAAUUUAAAUUUAAUUAAUUUAAAACUAUAAAAGUUAAGUGCGAUUAUUUUAUUUUGUUGGGGUGAUGAGAGCAUAAAUAUUGCUAACUGCUUAAAAAAAAAUCUUAUAUAAAAGAAUAAAAUAUAAAUGAUCCUUUUUAAAGAUUAAAAGACAAAGUUACUUUAGGGAUAACAGCGUUAUUUCUUUUGAGAGUUCAUAUCGAAAAAGAAGAUUGCGACCUCGAUGUUGAAUUAAGAUAUCUAUAUAAUGUAGCCGUUAUAAAAGAGGGUCUGUUCGACCUUUAAAUU
This 467-nucleotide ribosomal RNA is filed under the name Chlorodiella cytherea. RNAcentral's name for it is "partial 16S ribosomal RNA". It matches the Rfam family "Bacterial large subunit ribosomal RNA", at positions 1926 to 2594 of the family's 2925-position model. The record is from RNAcentral. Lineage: Eukaryota; Metazoa; Arthropoda; Malacostraca; Decapoda; Xanthidae.